Molecule: transfer RNA, 74 nt
Filed under: bacterium
Lineage: Bacteria
Also listed under: 5 other names
Description: tRNA-Pro
Rfam family: tRNA
About the family: Transfer RNA (tRNA) molecules are approximately 80 nucleotides in length. Their secondary structure includes four short double-helical elements and three loops (D, anti-codon, and T loops). Further hydrogen bonds mediate the characteristic L-shaped molecular structure. tRNAs have two regions of fundamental functional importance: the anti-codon, which is responsible for specific mRNA codon recognition, and the 3' end, to which the tRNAs corresponding amino acid is attached (by aminoacyl-tRNA synthetases). tRNAs cope with the degeneracy of the genetic code in two manners: having more than one tRNA (with a specific anti-codon) for a particular amino acid; and 'wobble' base-pairing, i.e. permitting non-standard base-pairing at the 3rd anti-codon position.
Source: RNAcentral
CGGGCUGUAGCGUAGUCUGGUAGCGCGCUACACUGGGGGUGUAGAGGUCGCUGGUUCGAAUCCAGUCAGCCCGA